Molecule: transfer RNA, 72 nt
Filed under: Urocitellus parryii (Arctic ground squirrel)
Lineage: Eukaryota; Metazoa; Chordata; Mammalia; Rodentia; Sciuridae
Also listed under: 2 other names
Description: Spermophilus parryii (Arctic ground squirrel) tRNA
Rfam family: tRNA
About the family: Transfer RNA (tRNA) molecules are approximately 80 nucleotides in length.
Source: Rfam by way of RNAcentral
GGGGAUGUAGCUCAAUGGCAGAGCACCUGCCUGGCAUGCUCAAGACCCUGGGUUCCAUUCCCAGCAUCACAC